CAACCUUUAAAAAUGUAGUUAAUUCAUGUAAUAUAACAAGGUACCUUUUCUUGUGUUUGUACGGAACAUCGUUCAGAAAAAAUGUAGUGCACCUAUAGCAAUACGCGACUAAAAAAAAAAAAAACGUUGGUGAAGUGCCGCCAGUAUGUAAGCGGGGGGCCGGUUAAGUACGGAAAACUCGGUAGGCCGAAUCUGAUCGAUCCCCGACCCUGAUGGGUUACGACAAUUUGAUGGGCGAAAAAAAAUUUAAAAUUUUGAAUUUCGAAUAUCGGUUUACAAUAGACGCGAUGAGCACGGAAGAAAUUAACAUUACUCAUCUACACAAAAGUCCGUUAUUAGAUUAUUUUCGUCGUAAUCGUCAUGUUUCGAGUUGAAAAUGAAGUAUCGAUAUUAUGAUACUGACGUCUGGCUAUUGAUCCGGGCGAAAUAUCAUCAAUCGGAUCGAACAGCAAUAUACUAUUUUAGUAAAUAAUAUUUUGACGACAUUUGUGACUUAAAUA
Cinara cedri is the source of this 500-nucleotide non-coding RNA. The record is from the annotation of a GenBank genome assembly. NCBI's taxonomy places the organism in Eukaryota, Metazoa, Arthropoda, Insecta, Hemiptera, Aphididae.